RNAcentral lists this ribosomal RNA (509 nucleotides) under uncultured Glomus. RNAcentral describes it as "SSU rRNA". It matches the Rfam family "Eukaryotic small subunit ribosomal RNA", at positions 569 to 1081 of the family's 1831-position model. The record is from RNAcentral. Lineage: Eukaryota; Fungi; Glomeromycota; Glomeromycetes; Glomerales; Glomeraceae.
AGCAGCCGCGGUAAUUCCAGCUCCAAUAGCGUAUAUUAAAGUUGUUGCAGUUAAGAAGCUCGUAGUUGAAUUUCGAGAUCAAAUUGUUGGUCGUGCCUUGGUACGCACUGGCAUUAUUGGUUUCUCCCUUCUGACGAACCACGAUGUCAUUAAUUUGGUGUCUUGGGGAAUCAGGACUGUUACUUUGGAAAAAUUAGAGUGUUUAAAGCAGGCUCACGCUUGAAUACAUUAGCAUGGAAUAAUGAAAUAGGACGUUUGAUUCUAUUUUGUUGGUUUCUAGGAUCGACGUAAUGAUUAAUAGGGAUAGUUGGGGGCAUUAGUAUUCAAUUGUCAGAGGUGAAAUUCUUGGAUUUAUUGAAGACUAACUACUGCGAAAGCAUUUGCCAAGGAUGUUUUCAUUAAUCAAGAACGAAAGUUAGGGGAUCGAAGACGAUCAGAUGCCGUCGUAGUCUUAACCAUAAACUAUGCCGACUAGGGAUCGGAUGAUGUUAAUUUUUAAUGACUCAUUC